AUUUCAUACCCACACGCGCAGGCUUUCUUCUUCCCUUCCUCGGUGCCGAAUAGAUUUCACACUUAGCGAAUUUCAGAAAGUUAGGGCACAACUCAUUCUUCGACGCGAUUUCUCAAUCAGCAGACGCGACGUACUGGGCGAAGGUGGGAUCGAGGAGGUUAAUCGGCACCGGCGUCCAGGGAAAGAUAACAACACGCACAGCCGCGGGGCUGACAGCUGAGAUGCACCCAGCCUGGCUCGCUGUCGUCUGCAGGAAAGGGAGGGUAAGAGGUUGUUUUCUUCACUCUUCGGGAACAAGGAAGGUUGGAUUCUUGUGUUGGGCCUCGACAAUGCCGGAAAGACCACCAUUCUUUCUAUUGGUUUUCGCAGAUCGACUUCAGAUGGGAGAAGUAGUGUCUACUAUUCCAACUAUUGGGUUCAAUGUGGAAACAGUGCAAUAUAACAACAUAAAGUUCCAAGUUUGGGAUUUAGGCGGGCGGCCAGUAUCAAGUAACUAAUUACUCAAAAAAGUUCCAAGCCAUACUGGAGGUGCUACUUUCCCAAUACUCAAGCGAUAAUAUAUGUUAGUGAUUCAAGUGAUACUGAUAGACUAGUGGUUGCCAAGGAAGAAUUCCAUGCAAUAUUGGAGGUGAUAUUUCCAUUUAUGUAUUAUCAGAAGAAAGUUCAUCACCUAUAUAUUUCAAAGGGGAUGUUCUUGUUCCGUUUUACACCAAGGUUAAUGGAAGAUCAAAUAAGCUAAACUUUAUGUUACUGGACAGAUCUUAAGAAUGUAAUGAAAAUAUUUUUUUAUUUCAUAUGUCACCAUCACAUAUUCAUGGUAAACAACUUGCUUGUGCUUGGCUUCAACAGGUAUGUUGUCCCGAUUAUGGUACUUUUAGUUGUCAAAGGUUAACAAUGUUCUCAUUAAUUGUGAAGCUUUAAAUUUCAAGAACAUAAUCAGAAUUAGAGUGAUGAUUUUUUAAUAAACACUUUAGUAGUUUUUGUAAAAUAUUGAAUGGCCACUGUUUGCAUAAUUUUGCUGCACAUGAUCCUUUGAAGUUCUCUGAGUGUUCUUACAGUAAGUUCCUACCUAGGUGGCCCUGGAACUUGAACCAGUACUUAACAGUUUGUUUACCUUUAGCUUUGGUUUUUUAUAUUUUAGGCCUUGGCAGUUUUGUUUUCAACUUAAAUAGAAAUGAAAAAUGGUUCUUGUUUCUAGCUGUUUUAAUUUUCCCUACAUCAGUUAAACUGUUUGUUUAAACUCCUGAUGAUAUUUGUUAAUGAUUGACUGUACUUUCCUCUUUCUUAUAUGGAAUUACAUUGGUCCCAUGCCAAGAGGAAGAGCUAAAAGGCGCCGUUGCCCUCUUGUUUGCUAACAAGCAGGAUCUUCCUGGAGCAAUGGAUGAUGCUUCGAUAAUUGAGGCCUUAGAGUUGCACAAAAUUAAGAAUCGGUAAUGGGCUAUCUUCAAAACUUCCGCCAUAAAGGGAGAGGGCCUCUUUGAGGGCCUAGACCGGUGGCACACUUUCCCUGGUCAAGGUCUUCGUGACAUCCGCCUCAGUCCCGGACACACCCCUUAUUUUGCCGACCAUUGCUGGGGCGACUACCCUUUGCGAUGUCGUUGGUGAAGAUCCUAUUGAGUGGAACUACAAGGAUCUCAUGCACCGCCCCUGAAGCGUAUCUACCGAUUCACCCAUGUUAGUUGCCCCGUUUGUCUUAUGGAAUGUAUGUCAUACCUGUUUUCGGAUGGAUUGUGUUGAGGCUGUGUGAACGAUAUGUGGAAUUGAUGCAUAGACCAUUGGAGUUUUAAUUCGUGUGGUGAAAGAUGUGGUUAUGGAUUGAUGGAUAUCCGUACUUGCUUAUUGUUAGGUUUGGUGUUUGAACUGUUAAGCCCGUUUUGCGGAACAGGAUGUUGAUGUGUAGUGCUUGCUAGGCUUGUUUUAUGGGUUGCUUUACUUCGUUGUUAGGUAUGGAGAUUGUCAAGUAAAAUCUGUGGUGUCCAUGGGCCUUAAUGUUGGGAUUCAGAUUUUACUAUGAAUUAAUGUUUGCAUGUAUUGCCAAUGAUGAUAUGUUUAUAGCAUUAUGUGUAUACGGAAUUUCUUUCGGUA
Long non-coding RNA from Andrographis paniculata, 2085 nucleotides. RefSeq lists it as uncharacterized. Lineage: Eukaryota; Viridiplantae; Streptophyta; Magnoliopsida; Lamiales; Acanthaceae. The record is from RefSeq and is a predicted model, not a curated record. The transcript is spliced from 11 exons.